UAAUAAUAAUCAUAUACUCACAAAAUUAUUUUAAAUAUUUGGUCCUUUCGUACUAAAAUAUCUUAAAUUAAUGAGGAUAGAAACCAACCUGGCUUACACCGGUUUGAACUCAGAUCAUGUAAGGAUUUAAAGGUCGAACAGACCUAUAAAUUAAACUUCUACACCUAAUUAUAUUCCUUAAUCCAACAUCGAGGUCGCAAUCUUUUUUGUUGAUAUGAACUCUUAAAAAAAAUUACGCUGUUAUCCCUAAGGUAACUUUAUCUUACAAUCAAUAAUAAUGGAUCAAUCAUUCAUAAAUCAAUGUAAAUAAUAAAAAGAGUUAUUCAAAUCUUUAUGUCACCCCAACACAAUAUGUUUUUAAAAAUAUUCUCAACAAAUCUACAAUAAAUAUUAAUAUAACAUAUAAAGCUCUAUAGGGUCUUCUCGUCCUCCAUUUUCAUUUGAGCCUUUUAACUCAAAAGUUAAAUUCUAUACUUUAUAUUGAGACAGUUAAUAUUUCGUCAAACCAUUCAUUCAAGCCUUCAAUUAAAAAACUAAUGAUUAUGCUACCUUUGCACAGUCAAAAUACUGCGGCCCUUCAAUUUCAUCAGUGGGCAGGCCCGACUUUAAAUUAUACUCUAAAAGACAUGUUUUUGUUAAACAGGCGAAUAUUAAUUUUGCCUAAUUCCUUAAUAUAAAUUCAUAAAUUUUUUCCUAUUAAUACAUUCAAUUAUACUAAUUUUAUCAUUAUUUCAAAUAAUAUUUUACUUCUUAAAUUAUUCUAAUUCACAAAUUAAACUUUUUAUAAAAUCAUAAUAAUAUAAAAUAAUUUAUAACAUUAUUAAUUUGAUGACUAAUUUAAAGCCUACAAUUUUAAUUAUAUUUUACAAAUUAUAAUUUCUAAUUUAAAGCUUAUCCCUCAAAUUAUUUUCUAGUUCAAAUAAUCAUUUAAAAAUUUAAAUAAUUACUAAAACUAAACUGAAUUAAAUUCAUUUCUUAGAAAACUAGAUAUCUUAAAAAACGAUUAACAUUUCAUUUCUAACAUAAUAUUUUUAAUAAAUAUAUUACAUUAACUGAACAUAUUAUGUUAGCUCUUUUUAACUCGAGAAAUAUAAAUUUCUUAUAAAAUUAUUAAUAAACCCUGAUACACAAGGUACAAUUACAAAUCUACUUUCCAAAAAAUAACUUUUCACAUAUUUCAUAAUUCUUUCACAAUACUACUAUACUAUAAAUCUUCUUAUUUUUUCUAUAAAAUAUACUAAAAAUCUUAUAUUUAAAAUUAUUUUAAUUAAAACAAAAUUUAUACACUUUUAAUUAUUAAUAUUCAACUUU
This 1311-nucleotide ribosomal RNA is filed under the name Pseudokuzicus pieli. RNAcentral's name for it is "16S ribosomal RNA". The record is from RNAcentral. Lineage: Eukaryota; Metazoa; Arthropoda; Insecta; Orthoptera; Tettigoniidae.